GCGAGGUCAAAUCUGGGGCCACGCCCCCAGUCCUGUGGCGCAACUCCCCGAACACGGAAAAAAAGACGCAGUGGGGGUUCUGCUGUGUUUGCGAGUGAGGGUUGUGAGUGCAACGGGCGCAAGGCAUAAAAGCCAGUGUGUUAGUGCGCGGGCAGGCUCGCGUGACCCUGGGGUUGCUGUGUGAGCGGCCCUCGUGGCGCGGGAGGUGAUGCGUUUGCGCAGGCGUGCGCCCCUGGCGUCGGGACUGGGACUCCGGAUUUCUGUGGCGACUGAGGCGCUCUUACCUUUGCGUCCUGAUCUCCAAGCAAGCACACUGACCUUCAGGCAAAUACGCACUGUUAAUUUUCCAGAAAGUUCUGUGGCCUCAAAAUACAUUAGAAAUAUCUUGUUCCCUGCUUUGGCUAAUGUUGACUGGAGUGUCAAGAAGAGUGCAGGAAAGCAAACCAAGCUGGAGUGAAGUGGCACGAUCUCAGCUCACUGCGAUCUCAGCUCACUGCAAUCUCAGCUCACUGCAAUCUCCGCCCUCCCCUCCCCCCAACCCCAACCCUGGUUCAAGCAAUUCUCCCAUGUCAGCCUCUCGAAUAGCUGGGAUUACAGGGAUGCGCCACCAUGCCUGGCUAAUUUUUCUAUUUUUUAGUAGAGAUGGGGUUUCACCAUGUUGGCCAGGCUGGUCUCAAACUCCUGACCUCAGAUGAUCCACCCGCCUUGCCUCCCAAAGUGCUGGGAUUACAGGCGUGAGCCACUGCACCCAGCCAUAUGUCUAAAUCUCUUCCAUGUGUGUUGAAGUUAUCAGGGUGGUGAGGAAACAGUUGUUAAAAACCUGUUAUGGGCCACACACUGUAUACACCCAUUAAUCUCAACAAUAGGCCUGCAAAUUGGGUGAUAUCAUCAUUAUUUUAUAGAUAAUGAAAGCGAAUUCUGCAGUGUGUAAUUAUCUAUCUUUGGUCAUAUAACUUGUAAAUAGUGGAGCCUGGAUAAUUCCUGGCAUAUCUGCCCAUAUUAUUUUACUAAGCUUUCUACUUUUUGGCUUUGAAUCUGGUUUAGUUAUUUACUUGUUAAGUGACUUUAUUUAACUUUUCUAAGCCUCAGUGUCACAUAUUAAAUAGGAACAAAUAUUUCUAUUUCAUAAUCUUAGAGCCGCACUAUCCAAUACUGUAGCCGUUAGUCAUAUGUGACUAUUUAAAUUUAAAUGCAGUAAAAUGUAAAAAUGUAGAUCCUCAGUUGCACUAGUCUCAUUCCAGGGGCUCGAUAGCUACUUACAGUUAGUGGCUACCAUAUUAGACAGUGCAGAUACAGAACAUUUCUGCCACCACAGAAAGUUCUACUGGACAGUGCUGAUUUAGAGGAUAUAAGGUAUAUAAAAGGGCCUAAGACGGUGCAUAUCUCAUGGCAGAUGCCCGAGAAAAGUGAUCUCGUCUGCUUUUUUCUUUCAGCAUCAGAGCUAGGGGUGUUCUCCUGUUUUAUUGAUGGGAUUGGGAGAGGGAAGUAACUUACCCAAGUGUGGUAGGGGAUAUGUCUGGCACUGGGACCCACAUCUCCUGACUCUUGCUCUAACAUUCUGUCUAGUAUGCCCAUCCUUAUGCUUUACUCUACUGAGUGAGGUUUCAAGGCCAAGCAUGUGAACAGUGUGAAUUAACUUUGGAGUCAGGGUGGUAGCAGAAAAAGGCAUAGGAACUGAAUGCCUCCUGUGUGCCACACAGCACUGUGCCCAGCUUUUUUACAUCUGUUAUCUUAGCAAAUCCUCAGUGAAGCCCAGAGAAUAAAUACCCCAAGUUGCUCAGCAAGGAAAUGGCAGACCAAGCCCAGGCAUUUUCCCAUUAUGUCAUGCUACUCCCUCAAAUGUGACUACUCCCCUGCCACCUCCACUUACUAGUGGGUCCUCAGAAAAUGGGAAUUACUCCUCUUUUGAAUGUAUAGCUGAACCGCUGUCUUCACAGUCUGUUUCAACUGGAAUGGAAAAAUAGCUUAGGUCAAUGUUUGGCUCCAAGGCCCAAGGCCAGACAGAGAAUAUUUGUGGUCCCAGCCUUCACAGGACAGGCAAUGGCUCUGAGAACCCUGUGUUAAUUUUCAAGGCCACCAUUAGCUCAUACAUUGCUUUUGUGCUGAUUAGAAAAGCAUGCCACCUGGGGGGCAGACAAAUUGUAGCGAAGGGCCCAUUCCAGUGGAACAAUGAGAAAAAUAACUUUUCUUUCUGUAGGCUGUUGCAACCUCACCAGAACAGCUGAAGAAUGAAUUUCAGCCUGGACUCUACCUUAUUAGUUGGGCACCCUUGGGGAGGGUGCAACCUGCCCAACAUUUUCCGCUGGCCCUGUCUUACCUCAUGACUAAGAGAGCCUUUCUAGGUCUGGAAGGUAGCGGUCAGUCUGUUCUGGAGGGUGGAGAGAGACACCAGUGUUUUCCCAUGGUUUCUGGGUAGUAGAUAAAAUUGGUCUAUUCUAAGGUUAAUUUGAUAUUUUAAAAUUUUGGUUCUGACUAGCUUAUUGGAUUUUUUUGAAUAACGUUUGAUUAAUGUAAAGGUUAAAAAUAAAACCUAAUAUUUCAGCUAAGCAAAUGGUGUUUCUUCAAUAAGGAUGUUUUUCUAUCUAUUUAUACCUGCCUCAUUCCAUAGGAAUUUUAUAAAGCCAGUCCAGGAAUGUAGUCUGAAUCAAUCUAGUUUGCUAGCCUGUGAGACCAGGGCAAAGAUGAAAAUAGUCAUGGGAAAGUUUUAUCCUUUUAGGGGUAUCUGUCUUCUUCUAGUUCCUCUCUCCUCCUGUGACACAUCCCCACCCCGAGACUGACCUACCCAUUUGACAGAAAGAGAUUACUUAUUCAAAUGACUCAAAACACUGAGAUCCUGAACCUAAUCAAUAAUGUCCUUGGAUGACCUUGGGAUGCCAGACUCACACAUAAUUCCUUGUUGUGCCCUUCCUGAGUUAAUAGUUUAGCAUACAAUUUACCAAAAUUUGUGGUUUCCUGAGCCACAGACUUCACUUGGAAUGAUCAUAUAAAGUCAUCCAUGCUACACACCAACCCACAGAAAUGAGGACUGCUUUCCUCCAGUGUAUGCUGAGUCCUACAAUCUGAGCACUGCUUCAAGAGGAUGCCUUGAGUCAUUUUUCCAGAGUUAAAUUUGCUUAUGCUUCUAACUUCCACCUACAGUCCCCGUUACACUGGGAAUGAUAAAAACUAUGCCUUUUGAAAAUAUAAGCUGUCAUGUUAUUAAAGAUGACAAACCAGUAUUAAUUAAAGUGCUGCAUCUAAAUUGUUGAAGCUUAAUGCUUGUUACGUGGGAGUUCAUUAUACUGUUUUUCCUACUUUUGUGUAUUUUUGAAGUUUUCCAUAAUAAAACAUUUAAAAAGACAAAAAA
Molecule: long non-coding RNA, 3346 nt
Organism: Symphalangus syndactylus (siamang)
Lineage: Eukaryota; Metazoa; Chordata; Mammalia; Primates; Hylobatidae
Source: RefSeq, a predicted model, not a curated record